GUACUUGCUUCAGCAGCACAUACACUAAUAUUGGAAAGACACAGAGAAGGUUAGCAUGGCUGCUGCGCAAGGAUGGCACACAAAUUCAUGAAGCAUUCCAUAUUAAA
Molecule: small nuclear RNA, 107 nt
Organism: Diceros bicornis minor
Lineage: Eukaryota; Metazoa; Chordata; Mammalia; Perissodactyla; Rhinocerotidae
Source: RefSeq, a predicted model, not a curated record